RNAcentral lists this ribosomal RNA (497 nucleotides) under uncultured bacterium. Its description in RNAcentral is "partial 16S ribosomal RNA". It matches the Rfam family "Bacterial small subunit ribosomal RNA", at positions 28 to 507 of the family's 1533-position model. The record is from RNAcentral.
GAUGAACGCUGGCGGCGUGCCUAAUACAUGCAAGUCGAGCGAACAGACGAGGAGCUUGCUCCUUCGACGUUAGCGGCGGACGGGUGAGUAACACGUAGGUAACCUACCUAUAAGACUGGGAUAACUUCGGGAAACCGGAGCUAAUACCGGAUAAUAUUUCGAACCACAUGGUUCGAUAGUGAAAGAUGGCUUUGCUAUCACUUAUAGAUGGACCUGCGCCGUAUUAGCUAGUUGGUAAGGUAACGGCUUACCAAGGCAACGAUACGUAGCCGACCUGAGAGGGUGAUCGGCCACACUGGAACUGAGACACGGUCCAGACUCCUACGGGAGGCAGCAGUAGGGAAUCUUCCGCAAUGGGCGAAAGCCUGACGGAGCAACGCCGCGUGAGUGAUGAAGGUCUUCGGAUCGUAAAACUCUGUUAUUAGGGAAGAACAAACGUGUAAGUAACUGUGCACGUCUUGACGGUACCUAAUCAGAAAGCCACGGCUAACUACGUG